Molecule: long non-coding RNA, 726 nt
Filed under: Musa acuminata (dwarf banana)
Lineage: Eukaryota; Viridiplantae; Streptophyta; Magnoliopsida; Zingiberales; Musaceae
Description: long non-coding RNA (MACU_LNC003577)
Source: RNAcentral
ACGAGGACGACUCCGACGGGCCCGCCGACGUGAAGGAGAAGCACCUCACCGUCGCCGCUGCGUUGAGAACUCGACGACUGGUGCUUCCUCAACAGUGUCCUCCAUUGCCCAGUUCCCGGUCCUCCUCCGAUCCUUCCUUCUCCAUUUCUUCUUCCGCGCCCCAUUUCUUGUUCUCGCUAGGGAUUCUAAGAAACCGUUGGGAUUUUCCUAUCAGGCAUUUACCUCGCUUUGCGAUUGAGGAGACCGAGCGCCUCCGACCAACCAUCUCUCGGCCUCGACGCCCUGGCCGAUCGACGCCGGCCACAACGCGAUUCCCCAGCGUUCAAGAAAGUUAGUCCAGCCGUUACCCAGGCCGGCAUGUCGGCCCAUUUGCCAUCGUAAAAGCCCAGUAGAGAGGAGACGCUCUCCCAUCCACUUGCGUCGGCUCUCAUCCUACCUCGACCGGGUCGGAUUCCAUCAGGAUCCAUUACAUUAUUGGAUUCGAGUACGUAAUGCUUCUCUCAUCAUCAUUUCUAAUCUCACCUACCGGCUUCCAUUUAAAGAAGCCACGUGGGCUUGAUUUAAGGUGAAUACAGAUCACGUGAUGAUAAAUAUUAACGAUGUGUGUAGGGUUUGCACAUUGUUCACGUGUAAAGUAAAAUAGGUGUAGAACUAGUAUUAAAUUAUUUUUUAUGUGCAUUAGCAUAUGUUUUUUUAAUUAUAUAAUUCAUUUUUCAUUUCGUAUAA